AUGGACAGCACGUGCUUUAGACUCCAUCAGCUUGAAGCCAUUACAAACAACUUCUCAGGGGAUCAAAAAGUAGGCAGCGGCGGGUAUGGAGAUGUUUACAAGGCGGUGCUUAAUGGCGAAGAGAUUGCUGUGAAGAAGCUUCAUGUUUUGCAAGGACUCGAUGAUGAGGAUUUUCGCAAUGAACUCUGUAACUUUAACAAGGUCAAUCACAAAAAUAUCAUACGGUUAAUUGGCUACUGCCAUGACACACACGAGAGAUGCGUGGAAUAUGGAGGGGAACUUAUCUUAGCGAGAAUAGUGGAGCGACUUCUCUGCUUCGAGUAUAUGCAGGGGGGAAGCCUUGAUAAGCAUAUUGGAGAUGAAUCUUGCCUACUUGAUUGGGCCACAUGUUAUAAAAUCAUUCAAGGGACAUGCGAGGGAUUAAAUCACCUUCACAAUGCACAGGAAAAACCAAUUUUCCAUCUGGACUUAAAGCCUUCUAAUAUAUUGCUGGAUAACAACAUCACGCCGAAAAUUACAGAUUUACAUUUCUCGACACGUGUUGCUUCAACAGAAGAAUAUUACAAAACAGAGAUUAUUAGAGGGACAAUGAGCUAUAUGCCACCAGAAUACAUAGAAUGUGGUAUUGUAUCAAACAAAUUUGACGUGUUCAGUUUGGGUGCAGUAAUUAUAAGAGUGGUGGCAGGAAAUAAGGGCUACUACCGUGGUCAUCGUGAAUUGUCUCGCACGCAGUUUAUCGAGCUUGUAGUUGAAAACUGGAAGGGAAGGUUGCAACCAAGUUCCGAGUAUCGAUCACACGACAUAGACAUAUUACGGGUGCGUACAUGUGUUGAGAUGGCAUUACGAUGUGUGGACAGAGACCGGGAAAAAAGGCCCUGUAUAGAGGAUAUUGUCCAUGAACUGGAGGAACUAGAAGCUGAGAUUAAGAGAAUAAUGUCAGUACCUCUUGAGGAGUCAAAAGUCUUAAUACCGCAGAUGGGAUCCAAUCCAUACCACCUCCCGUUACAACAUUUGAAAGACAUCACAGACAAUUUCUGUGAUGACCGCAAACUUGGUAGUGGUGGUUUUGGUGUCGUAUAUAAGGGAGUGCUGCAAAAUGGGAAUAUGGUUGCAGUGAAGAAGCUUGUGAUGUCCACGCCGAAGUCACAGAACCAAUUUGAGAAUGAGGGUGAUCUUCUUAUGACACUGAAGCACCCAAAUAUAGUGCGACUAUUGGGCUACUGCUAUGAAACAGAACUUAUAUAUGUGCCUUACAAAGAUAAAUUCGUUUUUGCUCAAGACACACAACAUUUGCUUUGCUUGGAAUAUAUGCCUAAUGGAAGUCUUGACAAUUACAUUUCAGAUGCAUAUGUGUCUUCUGGACUUGAUUGGCACACACGUUACAAAGUAAUUGAGGGCAUUGCCUUUGGUCUAAAGUAUCUUCACGAGGAAGCUACCGUUCCCAUUAUUCACUUGGACCUAAAACCUCCUAACAUAUUGCUUGAUGAAAAUUUUGUACCAAAAAUUACAGACUUCGGUCUGUCAAGAUUGUUUCAUCAAAAUCAGACUAUUCACACUGCAACUUAUACUGGAACAUUUGGUUACAUGGCGCUAGAAUACCAGCUACGAGGUAUAAUCACACCUAUGGCAGACAUAUUCAGUUUGGGUGUAAUAAUCAUGGAGGUAAUAACGGGGCACAGGAAAUACCCUUACCCAGAUGAUAUCAGAAAGUCUUCCAAGGACUUCAUCGAGCGAGAAGUUCAAAAAUGGAGAAUUAAGCUGCAAGAAGAACCAGGAUAUAUAUCACUAGAAGCAGACUGCCAACAAAUAGAAAAAUGCAUUCAGAUAGGUCUAAUUUGCGUGAAUCCUGAGCCAACAAAAAGGCCUACGGUGAAGAAAAUUAUUGAUAUGCUUCAAGGGUUGGAAAGUAUGGAAUGGUACAUUCGCAACGAGCUAUCAAUCGACGGCAUCCAGGAGGAGCAGUAG
RNAcentral lists this ribosomal RNA (1965 nucleotides) under Triticum aestivum (bread wheat). Its description in RNAcentral is "partial small subunit ribosomal RNA". The record is from RNAcentral. Lineage: Eukaryota; Viridiplantae; Streptophyta; Magnoliopsida; Poales; Poaceae.